This 472-nucleotide ribosomal RNA is filed under the name uncultured bacterium. RNAcentral describes it as "bacterial SSU rRNA". It matches the Rfam family "Bacterial small subunit ribosomal RNA", at positions 335 to 799 of the family's 1533-position model. The record is from RNAcentral.
ACUCCUACGGGAGGCAGCAGUGGGGAAUAUUGCACAAUGGGGGAAACCCUGAUGCAGCCAUGCCGCGUGUGUGAAGAAGGCCUUCGGGUUGUAAAGCACUUCAGUAGGGAGGAAGGUAGUGUAGUUAACACCUGCACUAUUUGACGUUACCUACAGAAGAAGCACCGGCUAACUCCGUGCCAGCAGCCGCGGUAAUACGGAGGGUGCGAGCGUUAAUCGGAAUUACUGGGCGUAAAGCGCAUGCAGGCGGCCUGUUAAGUCAGAUGUGAAAGCCCGGGGCUUAACCUCGGAAUUGCAUUUGAAACUGGCAGGCUAGAGUCUUGUAGAGGGGGGUAGAAUUUCAGGUGUAGCGGUGAAAUGCGUAGAGAUCUGAAGGAAUACCAGUGGCGAAGGCGGCCCCCUGGACAAAGACUGACGCUCAGAUGCGAAAGCGUGGGGAGCAAACAGGAUUAGAUACCCUGGUAGCACAGAG